RNAcentral lists this ribosomal RNA (394 nucleotides) under uncultured bacterium. Its description in RNAcentral is "partial 16S ribosomal RNA". It matches the Rfam family "Bacterial small subunit ribosomal RNA", at positions 523 to 918 of the family's 1533-position model. The record is from RNAcentral.
AUACGUCGGGGGCUAGCGUUAUCCGGAAUUACUGGGCGUAAAGGGUGCGUAGGUGGUUUCUUAAGUCAGAAGUGAAAGGCUACGGCUCAACCGUAGUAAGCUUUUGAAACUAAGAGACUUGAGUGCAGGAGAGGAGAGUAGAAUUCCUAGUGUAGCGGUGAAAUGCGUAGAUAUUAGGAGGAAUACCAGUUGCGAAGGCGGCUCUCUGGACUGUAACUGACACUGAGGCACGAAAGCGUGGGGAGCAAACAGGAUUAGAUACCCUGGUAGUCCACGCCGUAAACGAUGAGUACUAGCUGUCGGGGGUUACCCCCCUCGGUGGCGCAGCUAACGCAUUAAGUACUCCGCCUGGGAAGUACGCUCGCAAGAGUGAAACUCAAAUGAAUUGGCGGGG